UACGAAGGGUGCAAGCGUUACUCGGAAUUACUGGGCGUAAAGCGUGCGUAGGUGGUUUGUUAAGUCUGAUGUGAAAGCCCACGGCUCAACCGUGGAAGGUCAUUGGAAACUGAAAGGCUUGAGUACAGAAGAGGAAAGCGGAAUUCCACGUGUAGCGGUGAAAUGCGUAGAGAUGUGGAGGAACACCAGUGGCGAAGGCGGCUUUCUGGCUCGCAACUGACGCUAAGGCGCGAAAGCGUGGGGAGCAAACAGG
This 253-nucleotide ribosomal RNA is filed under the name uncultured bacterium. RNAcentral describes it as "partial 16S ribosomal RNA". It matches the Rfam family "Bacterial small subunit ribosomal RNA", at positions 524 to 776 of the family's 1533-position model. The record is from RNAcentral.